GUCUCAAUUGAGUUCCAAUGGGGUCGCUGUGUCCAUUUCUUUUUCUGUCUAUGUGGGCGAGUGGAGCUCCACUCUCGAACCGGAAAUACGUCACCUCCACUUGAAAACAUCAAGAUGGCAUCGCUGUGAGUUCUUCAAACUUAAACGCAGAUCAUAUGUAUAUCAAGUGUUAUCCAUCCUCAUAACACCUUCACAAAUAGAGACUGGAACUUCUGAUCACCAUCAGCUUGUCUGCUUUGGGACUGUCAGCCCAGCAAUCAGAUGAAUCAGAACAACAAAGCACAACUGUGGUCGCCCAGGCACCUUCAGCAACAAGUAAAUUGCUUUAACAUUAAUGAUAAUGCAAUAUCAGUCAUGCAAUUAAACUUGACCCAUGUGACGUAAAUGCCAGAGAUUUAACAACAUUGUCAGUC
This is a long non-coding RNA of Cyprinus carpio (common carp), 413 nucleotides long. RefSeq lists it as uncharacterized. The record is from RefSeq and is a predicted model, not a curated record. The transcript has 3 exons. NCBI's taxonomy places the organism in Eukaryota, Metazoa, Chordata, Actinopteri, Cypriniformes, Cyprinidae.